Molecule: small nucleolar RNA, 213 nt
Filed under: Propithecus coquereli (Coquerel's sifaka)
Lineage: Eukaryota; Metazoa; Chordata; Mammalia; Primates; Indriidae
Description: Small nucleolar RNA U3 (ENSPCOG00000010461.1)
Rfam family: Small nucleolar RNA U3
About the family: Small nucleolar RNAs (snoRNAs) are involved in the processing and modification of rRNA in the nucleolus.
Source: Rfam by way of RNAcentral
AAAACUAUACUUCCAGGGAUCAUUUCUGUAGUUUGUUACUGGAGAAUUUCUGUGAACGUGUAGAGCACCAAAAACCACGAGGGGGAGGCACAGUAUUCCCUCCUGAGUGUGAAACCAGCUCUUGGUGUUGCUUCCCUACAAUUGCUGUUUGCCAUUGGUGAUCCUUCUUUUCUUCCUUUGGGAGAGUAAGGGAGAGGAUACAGUCUGGGUGGU